This is a long non-coding RNA of Dipodomys spectabilis (banner-tailed kangaroo rat), 603 nucleotides long. RefSeq lists it as uncharacterized. The record is from RefSeq and is a predicted model, not a curated record. The transcript has 2 exons. Lineage: Eukaryota; Metazoa; Chordata; Mammalia; Rodentia; Heteromyidae.
UGUUCUUAUUUGGCUACCUCUUUUUAAAAACCUAACAUAAAUGGUGCCGUGACUUGGAUAAAGGCCUUCAAGUCAGGAUAGGUGUGAUUCCUCUCUGAUUUUCUUCCUCUUUUUUCUUAUUUUGUUUUUCCCUUUUUGCUCUGAGGAAUACCCACAGUUCUGACAGCCUUUUGUGAACCCAUCUGUCUGCUGUGGACACAGCACAUCGAUAUCAUUGCUGGCCUUCACAUCCACAUCCACACCACUUCUCUACUCUGAGGACUCCUCAUGCAGAAACUCUACAGGAAACAUUGGAGAAAAUGACUUCCAGAAGAACGUGAUGAAAAUAAGUCAUGGGAACACAAAGAAAAACGAUUACAACAAUCUACUCUUCACUCUGUUGCUUUGUUAGAAAUCUCUAUUCACUGUGUUUGCACAGACUUUACAAAGUUAUUAUUUUCAAUAAUUUAUUUUUAUACUCAUUAGUAUUUUGUGACAAAGUUCAUCAGCUACUUCAUUUCUCAAUUUAAUGUUUUCUUUAUUUCUUGAUUUAUAGAAUUUGGAGGAGGACAACCUGCAUAACUUUGUAUGUAAGGAAGUGAUAAUAAACAGUUCAGCAUUUAA